UACGUAGGGUCCGAGCGUUGUCCGGAAUUAUUGGGCGUAAAGGGCUCGUAGGCGGUUUGUCACGUCGGGCGUGAAAACUCAGGGCUCAACCCUGAGCGUGCGUUCGAUACGGGCAGACUAGAGGUAUGCAGGGGAGAACGGAAUUCCUGGUGUAGCGGUGGAAUGCGCAGAUAUCAGGAGGAACACCGGUGGCGAAGGCGGUUCUCUGGGCAUGUCCUGACGCUGAGGAGCGAAAGUGUGGGGAGCGAACAGG
RNAcentral lists this ribosomal RNA (253 nucleotides) under uncultured bacterium. RNAcentral's name for it is "partial 16S ribosomal RNA". It matches the Rfam family "Bacterial small subunit ribosomal RNA", at positions 524 to 776 of the family's 1533-position model. The record is from RNAcentral.